Molecule: ribosomal RNA, 253 nt
Filed under: uncultured bacterium
Lineage: Bacteria
Description: partial 16S ribosomal RNA
Rfam family: Bacterial small subunit ribosomal RNA
Source: RNAcentral
UACGGGGGGGGCAAGCGUUGUUCGGAAUUACUGGGCGUAAAGGGCUCGUAGGCGGCCAACUAAGUCAGACGUGAAAUCCCCAGGCUCAACCCGGGAACUGCGUCCGAUACUGGCAGGCUUGAAUCCGGGAGAGGGAUGUGGAAUUCCAGGUGUAGCGGUGAAAUGCGUAGAUAUCUGGAGGAACACCGGUGGCGAAGGCGGCAUCCUGGACCGGUAUUGACGCUGAUGCGCGAAAGCCAGGGGAGCAAACGGG